RNAcentral lists this transfer RNA (84 nucleotides) under Spirochaetaceae bacterium. Its description in RNAcentral is "tRNA-Leu". It matches the Rfam family "tRNA". Rfam says of the family: Transfer RNA (tRNA) molecules are approximately 80 nucleotides in length. Their secondary structure includes four short double-helical elements and three loops (D, anti-codon, and T loops). Further hydrogen bonds mediate the characteristic L-shaped molecular structure. tRNAs have two regions of fundamental functional importance: the anti-codon, which is responsible for specific mRNA codon recognition, and the 3' end, to which the tRNAs corresponding amino acid is attached (by aminoacyl-tRNA synthetases). tRNAs cope with the degeneracy of the genetic code in two manners: having more than one tRNA (with a specific anti-codon) for a particular amino acid; and 'wobble' base-pairing, i.e. permitting non-standard base-pairing at the 3rd anti-codon position. Lineage: Bacteria; Pseudomonadati; Spirochaetota; Spirochaetia; Spirochaetales; Spirochaetaceae. RNAcentral also lists the same sequence under 2 other names. The record is from RNAcentral.
GCCCAGGUGGCGGAACUGGUAGACGCGCUAGUUUCAGGUACUAGUGGGAGUAAUCCUGUGGAGGUUCAAGUCCUCUCCUGGGCA